ACGGCUCUCUCCCUCUCUCGCUCGCUCUUUCUUUGCCUAGGCUGAGAAGAAGAGAAUUGCUGUGGGUGGGUGGGAGGCACGCCGGCUGUGACCUUACCCGUCCGCAGCAGCGGCAGUCGAUUCAUUCCCCCUCCCCCAUCACUGUGAAGUGAGAAGAAGCAACAAAACAAAGCAGAACAUAAAGAGGUGCAGCGGGAAGAUGUACCAUCAGCAGCACUGUAGUGCGUGCGUGUGUGUGCCACAUGAAGGCGACGGGGUGCAGAGACACACGAACGCCGCGGGCAAUGACGCGAGUGUGCUCCAUUUAGACGGUAGUGCGUCACGGUGUUUUUCCUCUCGGCGUCUUUCUUGUCUUCCUCUUCGUCUCUUUGUUUUUGUGGGGUCCAUGCGCCCGCGAACAGCGAGCCGGCAGAAGUCGAAGGAGGAAGUGGGCGAGGGGAAGCCUGUCAGCGGCGUAGUUCCGUGUCGCGCAGAGAGGGAGUACUGCGUAUCGCGACGUAAUGUCUUAACACUGUCUCCUCUUCUACGCACCUUCCUCCGAUACAUUCAACUCCCCUCUACCUCAUCUUACAUUUCUCCCGUACAUAUCACGCACGGCGUCGUGUGCCUUUCACUCCUCUUCCACACAUCGCGCACACACGCCCUUCCCUCGCCUUACGCGAUUCCGCUGUCUUCUCUCCUCGCGUGCAG
Molecule: unclassified non-coding RNA, 690 nt
Filed under: Leishmania donovani
Lineage: Eukaryota; Euglenozoa; Kinetoplastea; Trypanosomatida; Trypanosomatidae
Description: gene:unknown
Source: RNAcentral